Molecule: ribosomal RNA, 429 nt
Filed under: Chloroflexota bacterium
Lineage: Bacteria; Bacillati; Chloroflexota
Description: Chloroflexi bacterium partial 16S ribosomal RNA
Rfam family: Bacterial small subunit ribosomal RNA
Source: RNAcentral
UGGGGAAUAUUGCACAAUGGGCGCAAGCCUGAUGCAGCCAUGCCGCGUGUAUGAAGAAGGCCUUCGGGUUGUAAAGUACUUUCAGCGGGGAGGAAGGGAGUAAAGUUAAUACCUUUGCUCAUUGACGUUACCCGCAGAAGAAGCACCGGCUAACUCCGUGCCAGCAGCCGCGGUAAUACGGAGGGUGCAAGCGUUAAUCGGAAUUACUGGGCGUAAAGCGCACGCAGGCGGUUUGUUAAGUCGGAUGUGAAAGCACCCGGCUCAACCGGGGAGGGGAAUUGGAAACUGGGAGACUAGAGUGCGGAAGAGGAGAGUGGAAUUCCAUGUGUAGCGGUGAAAUGCGUAGAUAUAUGGAGGAACACCAGUGGCGAAGGCGGCUCUCUGGUCUGGAACUGACGCUGAGGCUCGAAAGCGUGGGGAGCAAACAGG